ACAAAAGACGACCGGGAAGCCGUCCGACUAUACCCACUUCACUGACCUUUUCAGUUUUCAUCAUUAUGUAUAAUAGAAAGCACUCGCUGGACUGUGAACGAGAUCCCGACCCGUUCGACCCUCUUCAUAGGUGAACUCGGCGGCGGGUGGUUUUAUCUGCAUCCCCCUUCGCGCCCCACCAACUACCUGUACACCACCGUCCACUGAGUACCGGGAAAUGAUCCACGUAACGACCACCCCACAAGCUCAACACUGUCUGCCAUUAUUCGAUUAUUUUCGUUCGGAGACCCGUGUGGUGCGCAUGAGAUCGCACAAUACUGAAUAGUUGCAGAUUUACUGUAGGUAAUGCUACAGCAGUAUAGUGUUCGUUAGCAGUCCAGACCGCCGUUCACCAUCCCGUGAUGGACGUCCUCAGUCGCUGUCGAGAAAAUUCCAAUAAGAUUUCAUCUUACCAAUUUCCCGGGUUACACGCUUUUGGAGUUUCAACUCACCACAACAUUGGCCUGUGUAAUAUUACAAGAUUGAUCGUUGAUGCAUGUGUAAUACGUUGUUUACCGCUAACCUUUCGUCGUCCUCAGGUCCUACAUGAUUAAGACACGAAUACUGAUCGCCGAGUGUAACAUGAUGACGCUUAUCCGACGCUUCACUGGCUCAGGUCGUAGUUUUGCCUCGUCUACACGAUAUUCUUGUAAAAAUCUAUUUUAGGCGCACAAGAAAUAAUUGUCAUGGCUCAAAGACACGCGUGUUUUGUUCCGAUUGAAGAAAUCCAGAACCAAAGAGGUUAUGAGGUUUUAUAGUUUCACUAAAUCAGUACUGGAAGAAGAGAAUAAGAAGAGAUAAUAUCAUGGAUAUAAUGUACACAUUCUGCCAUCAGAUGAUGAUUACCUAACUAUAUCAAACUAACUGCAUGGUACAUAAUCUAACUAAAUACAACAGAAAAAAUAUGAAUGUAUCAAGAAAUUUAGAUUUAAAGGAAUGGAUAACUUAAGUACAUUGUUUAGUAUGUGUCUGAGCAUAUAUAAAUAAAAGAUUUCAAAUGGAAAUAUGAAGAAAGAAAAAUAAAUGAGCACGAUGGAUAUUUUUUGAAGGAAUAUAUUCUUAAGUUAUGGAUCAGCAAUAUUCAAGGUUACCAAAAAGUAUUUAUCUAUGAUGCAGGGU
Long non-coding RNA from Rhopalosiphum maidis (corn leaf aphid), 1158 nucleotides. RefSeq lists it as uncharacterized. The record is from RefSeq and is a predicted model, not a curated record. Lineage: Eukaryota; Metazoa; Arthropoda; Insecta; Hemiptera; Aphididae. The transcript has 4 exons.